Non-coding RNA from Pteropus alecto (black flying fox), 73 nucleotides. NCBI's taxonomy places the organism in Eukaryota, Metazoa, Chordata, Mammalia, Chiroptera, Pteropodidae. The record is from Rfam.
GGUUUCAUAGAGCAGUGGUUAGCACAUCUGCUUUACACGCAAAAGAUCCUGGGUUCGAGCCCCAGCAGAGCCA